CCAGGUGGCGUUGGCGGGAGCGGCGCGCGGAGGGUGGCUCGCGCCGCCGCCUCACGGCAGCGGGCGGGGAGCGCCGGGAGGGUCCGGGGGCACCGCGUUAAUUUAAUAUAAUAUAUUAUAUUAAUAACAAUAUAAUAAUAAUAUCUUAUAUUAACGCGGGUAUAAUAAUACCCCGCGGGGUGCCGGGGAGCUGUGAGCGCAGCAGCCGCCUGUCCCCGCCACCGGUGUUCGGCCACCGCCGUGCGGCCACGUCGUGCGGGGCCCGCUCGGCGGCUGCUGAGGGAGCGGCACGUCUGCCUGCGCAGGGCUCUGAGGCGGCGGCGCUGGGUGACAUUGGGCCGCUCUGUGGGGCGGAGGCGGCUCACGGUGCUGCUUGGUGCACUUGGCUGCUUAGGGUGAAUGGGAGACAUGGGGUGCGUGUAGCUCGUCUCAGGAGGAGGACAUCUGCAGAGAAGUCAAGGACCUGGAAGCAGAAUGAAGCCCUAGUGCACCUCUCACUUUGUGAUCGUGUUCCCAAGCAGCACGGACCAUCUUAUCGGGUAACACUGAAGAGCCACUCUAUGGAUGUGUAACAUGGCUCAGGCAAUGUAAACCUGGCUCAGCGAGUCUCCAUGCGGCGGAAUGUGGCGCAAGGAGUACUUCGGACUUGAGAAACGGUGUUACUCCACUUAACUCGGGGUGCUGAAGCAUCCCUGCCCAAUACCAGCUUUGAGAGUAAUUCACAGUCAUGUAAUUCGCUUGAAACUCAAAUGUUUUCACAAAGCUGGGAAGACAGCACAAGGGACUAAACCCAGUGGGAAAUAACAUUGAGGAUACUUGGCGUUUUCAACACCUUAUGUAAUGGUUAGGUGUUUAAUCUUCUGCUCUCUGAGCCGGUUCAGUAAUGACUACCUCUGUGAGGAAACAGGAUAAAGUUCUUGCCAGUUAAAGAACUACAAUUAAAGUAUUUAUCACUAUUCUCCUUAA
This is a long non-coding RNA of Taeniopygia guttata (zebra finch), 966 nucleotides long. RefSeq lists it as uncharacterized. NCBI's taxonomy places the organism in Eukaryota, Metazoa, Chordata, Aves, Passeriformes, Estrildidae. The record is from RefSeq and is a predicted model, not a curated record.